CCUACGGGGGGCAGCAGUGAGGAAUAUUGGUCAAUGGACGAGAGUCUGAACCAGCCAAGUAGCGUGAAGGAUGACUGCCCUUUGGGUUGUAAACUUCUUUUAUAAAGGAAUAAAACGAGGCACGUGUGCCUUUUUUGCAUGUACUUUAUGAAUAAGGAUCGGCUAACUCCGUGCCAGCAGCCGCGGUAAUACGGAGGAUCCGAGCGUUAUCCGGAUUUAUUGGGUUUAAAGGGAGCGUAGAUGGGUUGUUAAGUCAGUUGUGAAAGUUUGCGGCUCAACCGUAAAAUUGCAAUUGAUACUGGCAGUCUUGAGUACAGUUGAGGUAGGCGGAAUUCGUGGUGUAGCGGUGAAAUGCUUAGAUAUCACGAAGAACCCCGAUUGCGAAGGCAGCUUACUAAACUGUGACUGACAUUGAUGCUCGAAAGUGUGGGUAUCAAACAGGAUUAGAUACCCGAGUAGUC
RNAcentral lists this ribosomal RNA (461 nucleotides) under uncultured bacterium. RNAcentral describes it as "partial 16S ribosomal RNA". It matches the Rfam family "Bacterial small subunit ribosomal RNA", at positions 338 to 795 of the family's 1533-position model. The record is from RNAcentral.